CUUUUUACGCUCCCUAAAUAUGUUGAAAAUAUAAGUGUUCCUGAAAUGAUAAAUAUCGAUGAAAUAUAAUGAAUCGCAAGUCCAUAAGAGUCCUUACGUAGAUUUAGAAGAUACCAUUAGAAAAGAUGCACCGAGUAAUAGACUUUUUAAUCUUAUGUCAAGAUCUAACGGGAAAUUCCAGAUAAUCCAAAUACUAGAAAGCAUUCAAAGUCGAAGGAAAUUAAUUUGCGGGUAAAAACGAAGAUGCAAGAUAUACGAUACGAUACGACGCAUACAGGAAUCGUUCCAAGAAAAUGUUCAUCGGACCCCUUUCGGUUUGAUCUUCAAAAUCCCGCGAUUGCAAUGCUUUAUCGGAAAUUUCUUUUUGGCAUUAAAUAACUUUGAAAAAGUGUCUUCUUAAGUUAUUGCCAGAUUCUUAUAGAUUUUCCAACCCUUAUACGUAUACGAUAGAUUAGAUCUUUCAAAGAAUAAUAAGGUCUUUAUAUUUUUCUUUUUUCCUCGAAGUUAUAAUCAUUUAAUCAAUAGUAAUUUCGAAUUACAAUCACAAAUUGUAUGCGUGUAUAUGCGUGUAUAUGCGUGCACGUGUAUAUGGCACGAUGAUAAGAAAAACUCGUUGAAAGAUCUUCGUAUCUUAUAUCGCGUGUACAAAAGUAAAAAUAAAAACGAAAUUUACAGCCGUUCAAAUUGA
Molecule: long non-coding RNA, 688 nt
Filed under: Polistes fuscatus (common paper wasp)
Lineage: Eukaryota; Metazoa; Arthropoda; Insecta; Hymenoptera; Vespidae
Description: uncharacterized LOC122514289
Source: RNAcentral